This 405-nucleotide ribosomal RNA is filed under the name uncultured bacterium. Its description in RNAcentral is "bacterial SSU rRNA". It matches the Rfam family "Bacterial small subunit ribosomal RNA", at positions 355 to 776 of the family's 1533-position model. The record is from RNAcentral.
UGGGGAAUCUUGGACAAUGGGCGCAAGCCUGAUCCAGCAAUAUCGCGUGAGUGAUGAAGGCCCUUUUGGUUGUAAAGCUCUUUUGUCAGGGAGGAUAGUGACAGUACCUGAAGAAAAAGUCCCGGCUAACUCCGUGCCAGCAGCCGCGGUAAUACGGGGGGGACUAGUGUUAUUCGGAAUGACUGGGCGUAAAGGGUGUGUAGGCGGUCUUGUAAGUUGAAAGUGAAAUCUCAAAGCUUAACUUUGAAAGUGCUUUCAAAACUGCUAGACUAGAGUGUGAGAGAGGAUAGUGGAAUUUCUAGUGUAGAAAUAAAAUCCAUAGAGAUUAGAAGGAACACCGAAAGCGAAGGCAUCUAUCUGGCUCAUAACUGACGCUGAUACACGAAAGCAUGGGGAGCAAACAGG